This 88-nucleotide small RNA is filed under the name Olleya aquimaris. RNAcentral describes it as "Olleya sp. L-4 Flavo-1 RNA". It matches the Rfam family "Flavo-1 RNA". Lineage: Bacteria; Pseudomonadati; Bacteroidota; Flavobacteriia; Flavobacteriales; Flavobacteriaceae. The record is from Rfam by way of RNAcentral.
AAGUAGGCCUGCGUUAAGGAUGGAAGUGGCAUCCUUUUUUUGCUGCCAUAUAUGGCAAAAAAAGAUAUAACGGACAGCCUGACCACGC